This 249-nucleotide ribosomal RNA is filed under the name Pantoea sp. Its description in RNAcentral is "partial 16S ribosomal RNA". It matches the Rfam family "Bacterial small subunit ribosomal RNA", at positions 576 to 824 of the family's 1533-position model. Lineage: Bacteria; Pseudomonadati; Pseudomonadota; Gammaproteobacteria; Enterobacterales; Erwiniaceae. The record is from RNAcentral.
CGGUCUGUUAAGUCAGAUGUGAAAUCCCCGGGCUUAACCUGGGAACUGCAUUUGAAACUGGCAGGCUUGAGUCUUGUAGAGGGGGGUAGAAUUCCAGGUGUAGCGGUGAAAUGCGUAGAGAUCUGGAGGAAUACCGGUGGCGAAGGCGGCCCCCUGGACAAAGACUGACGCUCAGGUGCGAAAGCGUGGGGAGCAAACAGGAUUAGAUACCCUGGUAGUCCACGCCGUAAACGAUGUCGACUUGGAGGU